GGGGAUGUAGCUCAGUUGGUAGAGUGCUUGCCUUGCAUGCAUGUGGCCCUGGGUUCAAUCCCCAGCACCACAA
RNAcentral lists this transfer RNA (73 nucleotides) under Marmota marmota marmota (Alpine marmot). It matches the Rfam family "tRNA". Rfam says of the family: Transfer RNA (tRNA) molecules are approximately 80 nucleotides in length. Their secondary structure includes four short double-helical elements and three loops (D, anti-codon, and T loops). RNAcentral also lists the same sequence under 1 other name. Lineage: Eukaryota; Metazoa; Chordata; Mammalia; Rodentia; Sciuridae. The record is from Rfam by way of RNAcentral.